This 270-nucleotide ribosomal RNA is filed under the name uncultured archaeon. RNAcentral describes it as "partial 16S ribosomal RNA". It matches the Rfam family "Archaeal small subunit ribosomal RNA", at positions 477 to 747 of the family's 1478-position model. The record is from RNAcentral.
CAGCACCUCAAGUGGUCAGGAUGAUUAUUGGGCCUAAAGCAUCCGUAGCCGGCGCUGUAAGUUUUCGGUUAAAUCUGUACGCUCAACGCACAGGCUGCCGGGAAUACUGCAGCGCUAGGGAGUGGGAGAGGUAGACGGUACUCGGUAGGAAGGGGUAAAAUCCUUUGAUCUAUUGAUGACCACCUGUGGCGAAGGCGGUCUACCAGAACACGUCCGACGGUGAGGGAUGAAAGCUGGGGGAGCAAACCGGAUUAGAUACCCGAGUAGUCC